GGGCCACUGGUGAAAAAUCACACUGCCUUGUCAAGGCAGAAUUGUGGGUUAAAACCCCGCGUAGCCCU
RNAcentral lists this transfer RNA (68 nucleotides) under Lota lota (burbot). RNAcentral describes it as "tRNA-Asp". It matches the Rfam family "tRNA". From Rfam's summary of the family: Transfer RNA (tRNA) molecules are approximately 80 nucleotides in length. Their secondary structure includes four short double-helical elements and three loops (D, anti-codon, and T loops). Further hydrogen bonds mediate the characteristic L-shaped molecular structure. tRNAs have two regions of fundamental functional importance: the anti-codon, which is responsible for specific mRNA codon recognition, and the 3' end, to which the tRNAs corresponding amino acid is attached (by aminoacyl-tRNA synthetases). tRNAs cope with the degeneracy of the genetic code in two manners: having more than one tRNA (with a specific anti-codon) for a particular amino acid; and 'wobble' base-pairing, i.e. permitting non-standard base-pairing at the 3rd anti-codon position. The record is from RNAcentral. Lineage: Eukaryota; Metazoa; Chordata; Actinopteri; Gadiformes; Lotidae.